This 255-nucleotide ribosomal RNA is filed under the name uncultured bacterium. Its description in RNAcentral is "partial 16S ribosomal RNA". It matches the Rfam family "Bacterial small subunit ribosomal RNA", at positions 524 to 776 of the family's 1533-position model. The record is from RNAcentral.
UACGGGGGGUGCAAGCGUUGUUCGGAUUUACUGGGCGUAAAGGGCGCGUAGGCGGUCAGCACAAGUCAGUUGUGAAAUCUCCGGGCUUAACUCGGAACGGUCAGCUGAUACUGCUUUGCUAGAGUGCGGAAGGGGCAAUCGGAAUUCUCGGUGUAGCGGUGAAAUGCGUAGAUAUCGAGAGGACCACCUGAGGUGAAGACGGGUUGCUGGGCCGACACUGACGCUGACAGCGCGAAAGCCAGGGGAGCAAACGGG